RNAcentral lists this long non-coding RNA (598 nucleotides) under Pongo abelii (Sumatran orangutan). RNAcentral describes it as "lincRNA". Lineage: Eukaryota; Metazoa; Chordata; Mammalia; Primates; Hominidae. The record is from RNAcentral.
UAAGAACAACUACUAGGCUGGUUUUUAUUGAACAUGGUUAGGAAAUCUCUCCAACAAAUGAUUCCUGAGACCCACCCCAAUUCCAAUGCUAUCAUUUUGUGAGUUUUAUUAUUCAUCUGAAUUCUUACAACUGGUCUUUGGUAACCAGAAGAAACCUGCAAGGUGAUGCUCAUUUGGACCCAAGCAGUGGUGAAAUUGCUGACUGAAUCAAAUAGUGUAAAUAGAUCCACAGAAGAAGAAGUAUAAUGAACCUGAAAUUGCUAAACCCCUUUUAAGGAAAAUUUUCCUAGCAUAAUAUAUGAAGAUGAUGUCUCUCUUUGUUGCCCAGGCUGGAGUGCAGUGGUGCGAUCUUGACUCACUGAAACCUCUACCUCCUGGGUUCAAGUGCUUCUCCUGCCUCAGCCUCCUGAGUAGCUGGGACUACAGGCACCCGCCACCACGCCCAGCUAAUUUUUGUGUUUUUAGUAGAGAUGGGGUUUCACCAUAUUGGCCAAGCUGGUCUUGAAGUCCUGACCUCAAGUGAUCUGCCCCCCUCAGCUUCUCAAAGUGCUGGGAUUACAGGCGUGAGCCACUCCACUGAGCCCGGCCUUUUAAUCUU